This 573-nucleotide ribosomal RNA is filed under the name Salmonella enterica subsp. enterica serovar Bovismorbificans. RNAcentral describes it as "partial 23S ribosomal RNA". It matches the Rfam family "Bacterial large subunit ribosomal RNA", at positions 711 to 1280 of the family's 2925-position model. Lineage: Bacteria; Pseudomonadati; Pseudomonadota; Gammaproteobacteria; Enterobacterales; Enterobacteriaceae. The record is from RNAcentral.
AGACCCGAAACCCGGUGAUCUAGCCAUGGGCAGGUUGAAGGUUGGGUAACACUAACUGGAGGACCGAACCGACUAAUGUUGAAAAAUUAGCGGAUGACCUGUGGCUGGGGGUGAAAGGCCAAUCAAACCGGGAGAUAGCUGGUUCUCCCCGAAAGCUAUUUAGGUAGCGCCUCGUGAAUUCAUCUCCGGGGGUAGAGCACUGUUUCGGCUAGGGGGCCAUCCCGGCUUACCAACCCGAUGCAAACUGCGAAUACCGGAGAAUGUUAUCACGGGAGACACACGGCGGGUGCUAACGUCCGUCGUGAAGAGGGAAACAACCCAGACCGCCAGCUAAGGUCCCAAAGUCAUGGUUAAGUGGGAAACGAUGUGGGAAGGCCCAGACAGCCAGGAUGUUGGCUUAGAAGCAGCCAUCAUUUAAAGAAAGCGUAAUAGCUCACUGGUCGAGUCGGCCUGCGCGGAAGAUGUAACGGGGCUAAACCAUGCACCGAAGCUGCGGCAGCGACGUUUAUGCGUUGUUGGGUAGGGGAGCGUUCUGUAAGCCUGCGAAGGUGGCCUGUGAGGGUUGCUGGAGGU